GACAAAAGCCACACCAACGCAGCAUUAAUCACUACUUAGCAGUGGGCCUCACUGUCACUGCUUCUGGCUAAACACUUCUGCUAGAGCACAGACAGCCACUGUAUUCCAGCUGAAUGACUACAAGGAGGAUAUCAUGUGAAACUAUCAGCUGUGCGCCACAGCAAAAAAGGCUGCCCACUGCUCCGGGUGUGUGUUCACGGUGUGUGUACUUGGAUGGAUUAAAUGCAGAGCACAAAUUCCGAGUAUGGGUCACUAUACUUGGCCACACAUCACUUCACUUUUUUUUCUUUAAUUCAUCCACACUGGAACAUCAACAACCUGCAACUUUUCACUUUCCAUUACACCCAUUAGGUACUCUAUAAGGUUUAGUUCCAGCCUCAGGACAGGCCAUUCCCACACUGAUUUUCUUUUUGGUAAAUUAUUAUUCAAAGGUGGCUGACGUGUUUGGAAUUACUAUCUUGCUGAAAGAUCCACUUCUGCCAUUUCUUUACAGACUUCAUGUUUGCAACCAAAAUGCCUUCGUACAAAAUAACAAAAAGCCUCUGAAUUCAUAAUCACAUCAGUGGAAAAAGGUUCAUAGAUAUCAUUGCGCAAAAGAAAAAAGAAAUAAAACAGCUCUAGACUUUACAGUAUCCACCUCCAUGCUUUACAAUACCCUUAGUGGCAUUUGGUCGGAGGUCUUCUCCAGACUUUAUCUACACAAAGAAUCCAUCAUCAGACCCAUACAGGUUCAAUUUGAACUUGUGUGAAAACAAGACUGUUCUCCAUAAGUGCUGUCUUUAUGUACAUAUUAUUUGGAAAAUUUCACCCUGGCUUUUAUGAUCUUUAAGCUUAUGAUAGGUUUUUGGCACAUUAUGCUCCCUAUUUUUGUGGUCUGUGAGCUUAGUUGUAUCCGAUAUCCCUCACUGAACUCAAACAAUGCUUGAUGCUGUUCCUUACCCGUGUUUUUUUCUUACUUUACCCAGAAUUAUGCUGUCCAGACUGUUUGUGGUAAACCUCGGUCUGCCUAUUCUCAAUCACAAGUCCCUCCUCUCUCUCUCUCUCUCUCUCUCUCUCUCUCUCUCUCUCUGUCUGUCUCUUUUUUUAAUAAUAUAGCCGACUGUGGACAAUCAGUUUUUUGCUAAUCAGAAGAAUAGAGUUGCCUUGUUUAUUCCAACAGACAAUGCUAGAGUGUCACUUUUCAUCCAUUCUUGGGGUAAACUUUAAACCACUUGUCCCAAACCAAUUUAUAGAAGACAUUUGCAGUAAAUUAGCUUCACAGGUGCAGAUGAUAACAUUAAUUAGGGGUCUGUUCCAGCAUGCGAGUGCUGUGCAAUUACUCUAGAUUAAUUAGUUAAAUAUGGUAAAAUGACUGUUGUUGACCUAAUUAUAUUGUAUCUUCUUUUAUUUGUGACCCAAACUGCUACUCAACUUCUGGCAAUAUCAUAUGUAAAGAUCUAUGAGGAGGUACAUGAAAUUGUUUUAGCUAAUCCAUCAGCUAGCAUCAUGUUAAGGAAACUAAAAACACACAUUGCUCAGGUAAAGUGCCAGUGUUGAACUUAGUGAACUGAAAAGACUAUUAUGACUAAAGGCAACAAGAAGCAAAGUAUAAUUUAUUGAUCAUCCUUGAGUGAAUUAUUUAAAUAAACACCUAUUGAGUUAGCAUAAAAUUUAGCUUGUUAUUAAAAAAAAGAGCUGAAGUGAAGGGUAGUAGUUGUGUGUGCCCCCUCAAUAAAAUGGGUACAUGGUGCUCUUGGUAAAGAUAAUAAUAGGGUUUUAACAAGCUGCAAUUUUAGACCUCACCACAGACAGUAUGUACAGGUCAUUUAAACUUCAUACACUUAGAUCACGUCAUACUCUAACCUGCUCUUUAGUUGAUGUGUCAAAAGCAGGCAGUAAACAAGUAGAUACUGAGUGUGUGCUGCUGUGUAAAACUGAACUGUUGGUGCAUUGAACACUCAGUUCCUCUCUGCUGCAGCAAGUGGAAGAAAUGCAAUAUAACAUCACUUCACAUUUGGAGAGGAAUAAAAUGGAAGGUCCUGCCCAGUCAUAAACUAAUCAAGCUGUUCUUAAUCUAAUCAAGCUGUUCUCAGAGGAGUUGGAUUGAAGGUUCGAGGGAAAUGUCCAAGCAGCAUCACAAACCUUGAUGGAGCAUUCAUGAGGAACACCUGGAAAAACUGAUUGCACAUAUGAAGUGAACUAUAAAAACAGAGUUUAAUUGCUUUUGGGUAUUGUUGUUUUCCUCAAAAUAAACCUGGUAGUCUUUUA
Molecule: long non-coding RNA, 2247 nt
Organism: Pangasianodon hypophthalmus (striped catfish)
Lineage: Eukaryota; Metazoa; Chordata; Actinopteri; Siluriformes; Pangasiidae
Exons: 2
Source: RefSeq, a predicted model, not a curated record